RNAcentral lists this ribosomal RNA (600 nucleotides) under uncultured euryarchaeote. Its description in RNAcentral is "bacterial SSU rRNA". It matches the Rfam family "Archaeal small subunit ribosomal RNA", at positions 858 to 1458 of the family's 1478-position model. The record is from RNAcentral. Lineage: Archaea; Methanobacteriati; Methanobacteriota.
UAGGAAUUGGCGGGGGAGCACCACAACGGGUGGAGCUUGCGGUUUAAUUGGAUUCAACGCCGGAAAUCUUACCGGGACCGACAGCGAUAUGAAGGCCAGGCUGAAGACUUUGCCGGAUUAGCUGAGAGGUGGUGCAUGGCCGUCGUCAGUUCGUACUGUGAAGCAUCCUGUUAAGUCAGGCAACGAGCGAGACCCACGCCCACAGUUGCCAGCGUACUCUCCGGAGUGACGGGUACACUGUGGGGACCGCCGCUGCUAAAGCGGAGGAAGGAAUGGGCAACGGUAGGUCAGUAUGCCCCGAAUAUCCCGGGCUACACGCGAGCUACAAUGGUUGGUACAAUGGGUAUCUACCCCGAAAGGGGAUGGGAAUCUCCUAAAACCAAUCUUAGUCCGGAUUGAGGGCUGCAACUCGCCCUCAUGAAGCUGGAAUCCGUAGUAAUCGCGUUUCAACAGAACGCGGUGAAUACGUCCCUGCUCCUUGCACACACCGCCCGUCAAACCACCCGAGUAGGGUCUGAAUGAGAGCGCUUCCUCUGGAGGCGUUCGAAUUUGGGCUUUGCAAGGGGGGUUAAGUCGUAACAAGGUAGCCUCAGUCAGUCA